GGCCGCGAAAGGACGCCGUCAGAGCGCGGGGCUAGCGCGGGCGUUCGCCGUUACUUCAGCCAUCGGGACUUGGAACUUCCAUUUUACUGCAGAUACUUUUAAAGAAGAAAGAUUCUAAAAUUAUGGACUACUUGCAGGUAAUAAUGGGUUAAGUCUUCACAUCUGCCUGUGAUGAACACUGUGUUUAUGUGCUGUUUAAUGUUAUUUUUCUUCUGUCAGAUCAAAAGAUGCCUUUCUUAGGGGGAAAGAGUGAAACAGGACAGCCCUGAAUGUCAGCUUUCUCUCCAAAAAUGAAAAAAAAAAAAAAAAAAGCAGCAGUAAGAUAAUCUUGAUUAAAGCUGACUAUGAAUAGGAACUUUGAGAAAUUUUGUCAAGAACUGCAUGAGUACUUGAUUAAUCACACAUACAUUUAUCUGUAGGCUAUGCUACAGGAAACAGGCAUGGUGAAUUACAGGGAAAGUCAAUUUUCAUCUCUUUCAAAGUGAUGUUUCCUGCCACAGCGAGGCAAAUCUCCUGCAGUAACUUUGCCAUUUAUACUGAAAUCCUGCUUUGCUGUCAGAUGAGCUGAGGGUAUUCUUAGCCAGUUAAUGUGAAUGUCAGUAUAAUGCAGCUGCUCUACAGUGCCUUACAUUAUAAAAGUAGGACAGACUAGAAUUAUUAGAAGUCACCAGGUUAUUUGUAAAUCAGAGCAGUGCUGGUUGGUACUUGUCAGUAGAUAGUUCUGACUCUUUUUUCUAUCCCAGAGACUACUAAAAAAAAGUCGUUUCAGAUUCUGAAUGGCCAGGUAAGCUAUAUCUCCACAUUAUCUGGAUUAGAUAUGUCUGGAAUAGUGAAAGUAAGAUUUCUUUGUUAAAUUUAAGUUACUUAAAAAAUUUGUCUAGUAUUUAAAAUAAAAAUGGCAAGUUCACUUUAACCAGAACAGUUCUUUAUUAUAAAAUAAAAAUAUAAAAAAUUGAUGAUCAAAUGCAUAUUCUGUGCCUUGCUUUUGCUCUUUUAGAGUACAUCUACAAAUGUGAGUUGCAAGAAGUAGUAAAGGAUUGGGAUAGUAGAAGAGAUUUCUCAUCUUCUUUCUUUUCCAGGGCAUAGCUGUUCUUUCUAAUGAGUUACCUAAGAUUAUAUUUCCUCAGAUCAUUUGGUCAAAAUGAGGUAUCUGUCCCUUACCCAUAGUUCUGUGGAACUUUUUCAACUUUCUUUGUCUGAUAGAAAUGCAGUUUUGAGUUUAUGCCAAAUAUAACCAGAAUGAUUUGGCUCCAUUCUCCUUACUUGUCUAAGAUGGAAUAUUACAGUGGUCUGUUAUUUUCACUAGGAACCUCUGCAUCCACAUCCCUGUUCUGUUCUUUAAUUUGCAUGUUAUUCCCAUCUUCACUGACUUCCCUGCAUGUCAAUGCUUUUUUAGGACUAUGGGUCAUUACAGGUCAUAUGAGAAGCAUUUCCAACCCCACUUUGCAUUUUCAUGGAGUUCAUUCAUGAAAAAUAAUACUGACUCACCUGGUAUUCAGAAUGUUUUUCUAAAUUGCUUUCUGCUCAUCUUUUGUGAGUUUUGGAGCUAAAACUAUAAACUUGCUGUUUAAAAGACAUAAUUACUACAAUGGUCAGUGUCAACCAGACUUCUUCUUUGGCCAUAAAUGUACAGCUCUAUGGUAUAUCAGUAUAAAAUAUAUAUUCAAAGUUUAUUACUUUACCCACAUAAUUAGGAUGUUCAGCUACAAAUCUGUAUUUUCAUGGUCAAAUAGUCCAGGUUUUAACAAAAGUACCAGCUGUGUCUGACCAUACUCACCAGCAUUAAUGUUAGUUUUAUAAGAUAUCCUCUAAGUUGUGAAGUGAGAAGACAGAUAGACUGGUAAAAAGUAUAAAUAUGUAAAUAAUUGUCUUAAAGUGAUCAUUAGGAAGAAAAAUCCAGAAAUUAUCACACACAAAAUAUAGAAUCUUUCUUGUAAACAUUAAUGCUAACAGUACAAAGACAGCUUAGUUACUGCUCUACUAACAGCAUCUGGGAAUGCUGCAAGGACAUUAGGUAUUCAGCUAGUGUUUCUAAGUGUGUACUAUUAGCAUCUCAAACAAGACACUUACAGAGAGUGUAAUUGGAUAGCUGAUGAAUUGAGAAUGCUCCUUCACAAUUCUUUUGAUUUGCCUUUCUUCCAAAUCUUGUCUUUGGUCUUCUUUAGGAUUUAAGAUAAUCUCUGUUAUGCAGCAGAGAGGUAACCCCUGAAUGAAAUCUGAAAGUUUUAGUAGGCACAGGUGGCCAAACAGUAAAUUCUUUCUGAAAUUAAGGAUCAAGAUUCUCUUGCUAUGAAAUCUAUGAGAGUAUCCCUGAGAAUGAUGAACUGAUGCUGUAUACCUAUUCUGUGAUGCAAUAAACGUAACAACUGCAGAUAGUACAGCAUUUCACUUUCCCUCAAUUUUCAGAAUCCUAUGAAGUGCAGCAGCAUACAGCAACACGCGCACGACAAAAAUGAUUUGAUAUGGCAGAAGUUCAUUAAGCUUGACCUUUCUCUUCAGAUGGUAGACUUAGUAAAACUGAAAUGCAGCAGUGUUGUAAUGUGUGAUUCUAUCUUUAUUCUUUUGCUAUACGAAUUUCAGUCAGUGGUUGUUACCCAGCAAAAUUUGCUGCUAAAGUUAGAACUGCUGUUCUGUUGUGCACCUGUGCUCCCGCUGCUGUUUUGCAACAAACUUGACAUUAAUGAGCUACGAGAUGGAGAACAAUGAAUUCAGUUCACAAUCGUUUAUCAUUAUUAACAAUGACAGCAAGAGAGCCUUGCACUGAAGGUGAUAUACAUACUGCCUAUCAUUUUGCUUUGUGACCCCAGCACAUUUGUAGUCAGGAAGGCAGAGAAGAAUUGAAGCUCAAACAGAGCAGUCCCGGAGCUAUCAGCACAAUAAAUGUUUCUACGAAAGCUUUAGUGCCAGCAUUCACAGCAGUAAUGGAGUGGGCUUGAAUUGUCCUGUGCCUGACUACAUGGUGGUGAGAAUACAGUUGUGCUCACCGAGUGCCCAGGACCCAGCUAGUCUAGAUCAAUAAGGGCCACCAGUCUGAUUUGGUUCAGAAACCACAACAAAAUCAGGUUUGAGCUUUCUCAGGCUAUACGUAGGAAUUCAGCUGUAUUUUACCAGCUGAGUCACAAUAAUAUCUCAAUUAAAUACAUCCAAUACAUUGCAAAAUGGCUCCCCCAAAAAGCUUCCUUUUUGAAGCAGAAAGUGUUGAUGAGCAUCUACUGGAAGGCAAAAGUCUUUCUCUUUUCAUCCACUGGCUGAUCUUGAGUUUGUGCAGGUUCAGUGCUAAUAGGGUAAACAGGACUGAAAACUCACUGUGUGUAUAUACAUACAAACUUGACUGUGGCGUACAACUUCUUAAAUUGACUGGAAAAAUACAAAUAAUUUUGGAUGUAUGUUUUGAGAGUGAAAGAAGAGCAUAAUUGUUGUUACAGAUGUAUUGUUAAUACUUUAUAUUUUGGACAUGAAUUCUCUGAUUUCUAAUUUCUUGCUUAAGGUAAAGGCAGCAUAAAAUGAAUAAUUGUUUAAUCAGGAGGAAUUUAGCAAGCUUUUUUAUGUAGUCAGGUUAUGUCAUAAAGCAAGAAAAGUAAUCAUGUGAUUUGGCUUAUUACCACUAAUUAAUUUCCAUUUCCAUUUUGGGACAUUACAGAGUUUAAGUUUUACAGUUACUGCAGAAAAACAGACACUGGAGAUUCUUCUCAGUCUCCUUUAGCAGAAACAUUACCUGUAUUGGAAUGCUCUGAUGUAAUUGAACUUAAUGAACGCGUCAGAUUUUGGGGGAGAAUAAGAAGUACUGGCCUAGCUGCUAUAAUGAAUAUUCCAUUCAAGUUAGAAUAAGACUGCAAGGAAACAUUUUCCUGAAGGGAUAUGCCACACAGUAAAAUCCCUCCUGUUUAAAGAUAACUACCUCUGAAAGUGUCUAAAUGUGUAGAUUUCCCCUUUAGGAUGUGUUUAUGUUUAAUGUUCCUAUUUAAGGUAUAUUUAAAGUCUCCUUUAUUCACCUUUUUUGAACAAAGUUUGUGAGAGACUUACAUCUCACCAGUAGCGAGUGCUAUUUUGUCCACAGUUCUCUCCAGCCACAGCUGUGAGAAGACAAGAAAUGGAACACGUUAUGGUUUAGGCUAUCUGGAAUGAUUUUGAAUAUUAUGAUAAGAUUAUGUUUGAAUUUUCCAAGGGAAUUAAUGGAAAGAAACCUACUGUAGUCACAUUUCAACUUGCCUUAUCAGAGAAACUAAUCUUCACCAGCCAGGUCUGGCAGUAAAAGAUUGACUGUUAUCACUCAUUUUUCUGCAGUCUACUCUAUGCAAAUAACCUUCAAGUCACACUUUUAAAUAAGUCCAUCACUUGCUUGAGACAUGCAGUGGGAGAGGGAGUGUAAAGAGAAACUGAAUAAGACUUACUAAGCAUGGAGCAAGUCAGACUUCCAGUUGGACAAGUACUUAGCAUGCAUUUGUCUGAUACACUGUAUAUCAAAGGCUGACUGGGUUUUCUAACCCAUGUGUUAGAAGCAAGCAGCCUCCUCAUUUGUUAUCUAGAAACAAACAUCCUGAUUCUGCACUUCAAAACAACUUUUAUGCCUACAGCAGGUAUGUAAAAGGCUACGUACUAAAAAUAAUGUUGACUUACAUCAGUCUUGCAUAAAUAUAUAUAGUUCUGUAAAAGCUAACCUUACAGAAUCACAGGAUAGUUAAGGACGGAAAGAACUGUGUUGGAGGUCAUCUCAUCCCACCUCCCUGCUCAGGGAGGAUCACUGAGACCAGGCUGCCCAGGACCACAGCAGCUCCUCUGAAAGGAACCCACUGAUGGCUGUCAUUCCUUCUCAGUUACACAAAGUGGAUCACAACUGUGUCCAAGAAAUAUACUUAAAACUAAACCUUCUGCUGCAGCACUGGAGAUAGAUGAACAGACUCUGCUUUGUCACACAUCAUCUCAGCUCGAAGAGCACUCGAAGAAAAGAAGAGAAGGAUGCAUCUGUUUGUGAAUGGCUAAAGUGCAUCGUAGGACUGUUCAUAUUUGUGAAUGCAGAUUAAGAUAGUAGCACUUGCAAGAUGAAUCCAUUAAACAGAAGUAAAGCUUAGAAACUAUGUUAAUGCUAUACUAAUGAGAAUUCCUUCUUGGUGCUCGCACUAUUGCUGCUGGGACAGAGAAAGGAAUGUGGGUCUCCUUGUAUGUCCCACCACUUGCCUAAGAGCUGGAACGUGGGAGUUCAGCAUGAAGUCUGUCGGGUUUGCAGUGCAGUUAGAAUUCACCAGAUGGGGCUAAUAGAGCAAAUAUAAAUAUUCUCUAUAGAAGUCAAGUCAUACUGAAGAAACCGUAUGUACUUACAUACAUGGCACAGCAGUUAUAACCUUCCAAAAGUCUGUUUUAAAAAAUGUUAAUCUUCAUAGUGAAUUCAUUAUUUACAACAGAUAUUUUAUUUUGAUAAUUUAAAAUAUUUGAUUUUUUUAAACAAAUUAACUAUUUCAACAAUUCACCACCACCAAUAUCUGACUCAGGAAAUAUGUAGGUUUCUUAUUUAUAUGUAUAUAUAUAUUAAUCUCUAAACUACUACGGAGCCACAAAUGUAAGAAGGGAAGUUCAAGCUUAUAAAUCCAUAUGGCUUUCCUUUAUGAUAUGGUGCAUGACUGAUUUUGUCUUCCAAGUCCAUCUCUCAGAUUCAGUUUCAUGUGGAGACUCUGAACAUACUUAGAUAUCACAGUAAAGUUUUAAUUAGCUGAUUAAAAAAAAAAAAAAUCCUGCAUGCACUGUAUCUCUGAAA
Molecule: long non-coding RNA, 5749 nt
Organism: Lagopus muta (rock ptarmigan)
Lineage: Eukaryota; Metazoa; Chordata; Aves; Galliformes; Phasianidae
Exons: 2
Source: RefSeq, a predicted model, not a curated record